UCGAGGGGUAACGGAGGUGCUUGCACUUGCCGACGACCGGCGCACGGGUGAGUUACGUGUAUGUAACUUGCCUCACACAGGAGGAUAGCCUUUGGAAACGAAGAUUAAUACUCCAUAGUACUAUUUAGGGGCAUCUUUAGAUAGUUAAGCUUACGAGGGUGUGAGAUAGGCAUGCAUUAGAUUAGUUAGUUGGUAAGGUAACGGCUUACCAAGGCAAUGAUCUAUAGGGGUCCUGAGAGGGAGAUCCCCCACACUGGUACUGAGACACGGACCAGACUCAUACGGGAGGCAGCAGUGAAGAAUAUUGGUCAAUGGACGAGAGUCUGAACCAGCCAUUCCGCGUGUAGGAUUAAUCUCUUAUAGAGUGUAAACUACUUUUAUACAGGAGGAUAGGUUGUACGUGUACAACUUAGGACGUUACUGUAAGAAUAAGCAUCGGCUAACUCCGUGCCAGCAGCCGCGGUAAUACGGAGGAUGCAAACGUUAUCCGG
RNAcentral lists this ribosomal RNA (491 nucleotides) under uncultured Dokdonia sp. RNAcentral's name for it is "partial 16S ribosomal RNA". It matches the Rfam family "Bacterial small subunit ribosomal RNA", at positions 62 to 548 of the family's 1533-position model. Lineage: Bacteria; Pseudomonadati; Bacteroidota; Flavobacteriia; Flavobacteriales; Flavobacteriaceae. The record is from RNAcentral.